Long non-coding RNA from Suricata suricatta (meerkat), 546 nucleotides. RefSeq lists it as uncharacterized. NCBI's taxonomy places the organism in Eukaryota, Metazoa, Chordata, Mammalia, Carnivora, Herpestidae. The record is from RefSeq and is a predicted model, not a curated record. The transcript is spliced from 3 exons.
UCAGGUACCCAGGACUGGAAGCAGAUGAUCUUCUUUCUGAUAAAUUGUCAGAAAGCCGUAGUAGCCUGAUUCUGCAUCACGACGCCUGUGUCCUUCACUUCACUUCGUCCCGUUGUGUGGGCAUUUAUCAUCUCCCAUCAGCACGAGAAGGGUUGCUUUCAUCCUGUUUGUUUUGGUGCCUCUCUUCAGUGUUGAAGGUUUUCCUCCGACGGGAGGUACUCCUUAGCCCUACUGUCUAUGAAAUAUGAAAGGACUUAUUGGAAGCUUUGAGCACAUGAGGACUGUCUACUUGGAGCUUCAGAGCAGGAGUUUCCUGCGUUGACCACACACCAGGCCCUCUGCUGGAAUCUGAAAACACAGAUGUGUUGAGGACAUCAUCACGGAUAUAGAUUAAGCAGAAGAGAUGGACGUGCUCAGGAGAACAAAAUGCAAGUCCAUGGUCCCUCACCCCAAAUCCUUGGAGGUCAAUGGGUUUUGGAUCUCAAAACUUAUCAGAUUCUGGAAAGAUAAUAAUACCAUUAAUCUCAUUGCACCCCUGUGGGCCUG